UUGGGUUCCUUGAUUGAUCGAGCAAAAGGGCACAAAUGAAACUAGACAGAAAAAAACACAAAGGCGGCAAGGACACAAGUCCGACGGUUGAUUCAUCAUCGAGAGAGAGGAGACCUUAGUUUCUCGACUUGACCGAAGGAGGAAAGGAACGGAAGCAGCAGAGUUGCUCUUCUUCUGCUCUAACAGUGUAUUUAAAGGGAUGAGGAGGGUUGGUCCGGUGAGGCAACGCAAUCAGCAGCAGCAGGUACUUCAGAGGAGCGCGGGAAGGCGAAGGCGUGAUUGUACACCUUCUCAUGUUUUGUUCUUAUGAUUUUAAGAUUCUAUGAUGUGAAAGUUAUUUUGAAAAUAAUUUGUAAACAAUGAGGAUUUGGGGUUUAUUUUAAAAGUUUAAAAUUUUCAAGAA
Long non-coding RNA from Lactuca sativa (garden lettuce), 403 nucleotides. RefSeq lists it as uncharacterized. NCBI's taxonomy places the organism in Eukaryota, Viridiplantae, Streptophyta, Magnoliopsida, Asterales, Asteraceae. The record is from RefSeq and is a predicted model, not a curated record.